CCAAAUGACUGGCAGAAUCCUAUGCCACAAAAGCAUACACCCAGGGCGAGGCUCAGCCAUUGCACAUGGGUUGAGCUGACCCCUGCGAAUUCCCCAAAUGCGGGAAUCUCGACUGCAUAAUUUGUGAUAGUGGGGGACUGCGUUCGCGCUCUCCCCUA
Molecule: small nuclear RNA, 158 nt
Organism: Dunckerocampus dactyliophorus (ringed pipefish)
Lineage: Eukaryota; Metazoa; Chordata; Actinopteri; Syngnathiformes; Syngnathidae
Product: U1 spliceosomal RNA
Exons: 1
Source: RefSeq, a predicted model, not a curated record